RNAcentral lists this ribosomal RNA (451 nucleotides) under uncultured bacterium. RNAcentral describes it as "bacterial SSU rRNA". It matches the Rfam family "Bacterial small subunit ribosomal RNA", at positions 329 to 795 of the family's 1533-position model. The record is from RNAcentral.
CUCCAGACUCCUACGGGAGGCAGCAGUAGGGAAUAUUGCUCAAUGGGGGAAACCCUGAUGCAGCGACGCCGCGUGGGUGAAGAAGUAUUUCGGUAUGUAAAGCCCUAUCAGCAGGGAAGAGCAGAAGACGGUACCUCUUGAAUAAGCCACGGCUAACUACGUGCCAGCAGCCGCGGUAAUACGUAGGUGGCAAGCGUUGUCCGGAUUUACUGGGUGUAAAGGGCGUGCAGCCGGGAGUGCAAGUCAGAUGUGAAAUCCCGCGGCUCAACCGCGGAACUGCAUUUGAAACUGUGCUUCUUGAGUGCUGGAGAGGCAGACGGAAUUCCUAGUGUAGCGGUGAAAUGCGUAGAUAUUAGGAGGAACACCAGUGGCGAAGGCGGUCUGCUGGACAGUAACUGACGGUGAGGCGCGAAAGCGUGGGGAGCAAACAGGAUUAGAUACCCCAGUAUCA